RNAcentral lists this unclassified non-coding RNA (253 nucleotides) under uncultured Legionellaceae bacterium. RNAcentral describes it as "contains 16S-23S intergenic spacer region". It matches the Rfam family "Bacterial small subunit ribosomal RNA", at positions 524 to 776 of the family's 1533-position model. The record is from RNAcentral. Lineage: Bacteria; Pseudomonadati; Pseudomonadota; Gammaproteobacteria; Legionellales; Legionellaceae.
UACGGAGGGUGCGAGCGUUAAUCGGAAUUACUGGGCGUAAAGGGUGCGUAGGUGGUUUGAUAAGUUGGCUGUGAAAUACCGGGGCUUAACCUUGGGGAGUCAGCCAAGACUGUCAGGCUUGAGUAUAGGAGAGGGCAGUGGAAUUUCCGGUGUAGCGGUGAAAUGCGUAGAGAUCGGAAGGAACACCAGUGGCGAAGGCGUCUGCCUGGCCUAAUACUGACACUGAGGCACGAAAGCGUGGGUAGCAAACAGG